CGUCGUGGUUAUUGAAAAUGACUGGAACUUUCAACCUCUAUUUGAUUAAACAGUCAUUGAUGCAAGGAGUCUCGGUCCAAAUGCAAUGCUGUGGAAACCCAUUUUAGUUGGCAACAUUUGUUGUAUGCAAUUGGAAAUCUUAAGUGCUCUGCUUUUAAUUUCUUUCUUCCAUUUUAUGUGUGAAAGAAAUGGGGGAGAGCUCCUUACUCGUGUUUGUUUUUUUAUGGAUCAUUUUGACAUGACUAAGCAGUUUCAGAUAUCUAAAAGCCAUGGGAAACCUUAUCUGAUUGUGACAUAGUUUUUUGCUUCUGCCAACUGCAGAUGUUGUAAUUUUUGCUUCUUAUAAUAUAUGUUUAUUUCCUUUGGAA
Pistacia vera is the source of this 368-nucleotide long non-coding RNA. RefSeq lists it as uncharacterized. Lineage: Eukaryota; Viridiplantae; Streptophyta; Magnoliopsida; Sapindales; Anacardiaceae. The transcript is spliced from 2 exons. The record is from RefSeq and is a predicted model, not a curated record.